UUAAAAUUUUAUUUAAAAUAGAAUUUUGGGUUUCCAAAUUUUCAGAUUCUACAGUUUAUAGUUGGAUUUUUAACAGAGAGUUUGGUUUGUAUUGCCAGCUAUAAACCCUAGUGACCAAGUCAGGGGAAGAGAGAGAGAGAGAGAGAGAGAGACUGGAGAUGGGAGUGGCGAGCAAAGCAGGGGACUGGGCAUUCAAGGCCUUCACGGCGGGCCUCGGCGUCGCCACCAUCUAUCUCGCCGCCACCUUCUCCGUCAAUGUCUACCGCGGCCUCUCCUGGCAUAACGCCCAAUCGAAAAUCAAGGAGGGAGGAUCUAACAACCAGAACCCAUAAUAAUUUUUUGCUGUUUAUAACUAGAUCAUAUGUAUUAAGUUCAAUUGUUCAAGUGAACAUUGUGAGAUUUAUGCAAUAUUUUAAUCUAGUGAUUAGGUAUUUUUGGCCUAACUCUUGCUUGCUCAAUUUUCUUUUUUCAUCUAUUUUGGUAAAAUUGUAAGUGGGCCACCAGACAAUUGCUUUGAACAAAUAUCAAACAAGAACAACAUUUGAGUGGUGUUUUCA
Camellia sinensis is the source of this 557-nucleotide long non-coding RNA. RefSeq lists it as uncharacterized. The record is from RefSeq and is a predicted model, not a curated record. NCBI's taxonomy places the organism in Eukaryota, Viridiplantae, Streptophyta, Magnoliopsida, Ericales, Theaceae.